UUGGAGGGCAAGUCUGGUGUCAGCAGCCGCGGUAAUUCCAGCUCCAAUAGCGUAUAUUAAAGUUGUUGCAGUUAAAAAGCUCGUAGUUGAAUUUCGGGGUCAGUAGGUUGGUCGUGCCUCGGUACGUACUGGCAUUAUUGGUUCCUACCUUCUGAAGAACCGCGAUGUCAUUAAUUUGGUGUCGUGGGGAAUCAGGACUGUUACUUUGAAAAAAUUAGAGUGUUUAAAGCAGGCGCACGCUUGAAUACAUUAGCAUGGAAUAAUGAAAUAGGACGUUUGAUUCUAUUUUGUUGGUUUCUAGGAUCGACGUAAUGAUUAAUAGGGAUAGUUGGGGGCAUUAGUAUUCAAUUGUCAGAGGUGAAAUUCUUGGAUUUAUUGAAGACUAACUACUGCGAAAGCAUUUGCCAAGGAUGUUUUCAUUAAUCAAGAACGAAAGUUAGGGGAUCGAAGACGAUCAGAUACCGUCGUAGUCUUAACCAUAAACUAUGCCGACUAGGGAUCGGAUGAUGUUAAUUUUUUAAUGACUCAUUCGGCGCCUUACGGGAAAC
Molecule: ribosomal RNA, 548 nt
Filed under: uncultured Glomeraceae
Lineage: Eukaryota; Fungi; Glomeromycota; Glomeromycetes; Glomerales; Glomeraceae
Description: SSU rRNA
Rfam family: Eukaryotic small subunit ribosomal RNA
Source: RNAcentral